AACGAACGCUGGCGGCAUGCCUAACACAUGCAAGUCGAACGAGACCUUCGUGUCUAGUGGCGCACGGGUGCGUAACGCGUGGGAACCUGCCCUUAGGUUCGGAAUAACUCCCCGAAAGGGGUGCUAAUACCGGAUAAUGUCUUCUGACCAAAGAUUUAACGCGUUUGUAUGGGCCCGCGUUGUAUUAGCUGGUUGGUAGCGUAAAAGCCUACCAAGGCGACGAUCCAUAGCUGGUCUGAGAGGAUGGUCAGCCACACUGGGGCUGAGACACGGCCCAGACUACUACGGGAGGCAGCAAUGGGGAAUAUAGGACAAUGGGGGAAAGCCUGAACCAGCAAUGCCGCGUGAGUGAUGAAGGCGUUAGGGUUGUAAAGCUCUUUUACCCGGGAUGAUAAUGACGGUACCGGAAGAAUAAGCUCCGGCUAACUUCGUG
RNAcentral lists this ribosomal RNA (433 nucleotides) under uncultured bacterium. Its description in RNAcentral is "partial 16S ribosomal RNA". It matches the Rfam family "Bacterial small subunit ribosomal RNA", at positions 29 to 507 of the family's 1533-position model. The record is from RNAcentral.